GGGACUGGCGGGCAGCUCCACCUGCGGUCCAGUUACUCUUACUGCUGCUCACUCUUUGAGUCCACACUGUGUUUAUGAGCUGUAACUCUCACCAUGAAGGUCUGCAGCUUCACUCCUGAAACCAGCAAGACCACGAACCCACCAGAAGGAAAAAACAAGCUGCGAGACCAGGAAGAAACUCCGAACACAUCCGAACAUCAGAAGGAACAAACUCUGCACACGCUGCCUUUAAGAACUGUAACACCCACCGGGAGGGUCCGUGGCUUUGUUCUUGAAGUCAGUGAGACCAAGAACCCACCAAGUCCGGACAUAAUCCUUUUACAAAUUAAAUCAAAGCACUUUAAUUCCUGCAA
Homo sapiens (human) is the source of this 353-nucleotide long non-coding RNA. RefSeq lists it as uncharacterized. The record is from RefSeq and is a predicted model, not a curated record. Lineage: Eukaryota; Metazoa; Chordata; Mammalia; Primates; Hominidae. The transcript is spliced from 2 exons.